GACGAACGCUGGCGGCGUGCUUAACACAUGCAAGUCGAACGAUGAAGGAGAGCUUGCUCUUCAGAUUAGUGGCGAACAGGUGAGUAACACGUGACUAACCUGCCCCUUUCUCUGGGAUAACGCUCCGAAAGGAGUGCUAAUACCGGAUACUCACAUCGAGGCACAUGCCUUGAUGUGGAAAGUUUUUCGGAAAGGGAUGGAGUCGCGGCCUAUCAGCUUGUUGGUGAGGUAACGGCUCACCAAGGCGACGACGGGUAGCCGGCCUGAGAGGGCGACCGGCCACACUGGGACUGAGACACGGCCCAGACUCCUACGGGAGGCAGCAGUGGGGAAUAUUGCACAAUGGGCGAAAGCCUGAUGCAGCGACGCCGCGUGAGGGAUGAAGGUCUUCGGAUUGUAAACCUCUUUCAGUAGGGACGAAGCGAAAGUGACGGUACCUAAAGAAGAAGCACCGGCUAACUACGUGCCAGCAGCAGCCGCCG
This 482-nucleotide ribosomal RNA is filed under the name uncultured bacterium. Its description in RNAcentral is "partial 16S ribosomal RNA". It matches the Rfam family "Bacterial small subunit ribosomal RNA", at positions 28 to 523 of the family's 1533-position model. The record is from RNAcentral.